RNAcentral lists this ribosomal RNA (460 nucleotides) under uncultured bacterium. RNAcentral's name for it is "partial 16S ribosomal RNA". It matches the Rfam family "Bacterial small subunit ribosomal RNA", at positions 338 to 795 of the family's 1533-position model. The record is from RNAcentral.
CCUACGGGUGGCAGCAGUGAGGAAUUUUGGUCAAUGGACGCAAGUCUGACCCAGCCACGCCGCGUGCAGGAAGACGGCUCUCUGAGUUGUAAACUGCUUUUGUACAGGAGUAAACGUGAAUACGUGAAUUCAGCUGCAAGUACUGUACGAAUAAGGAUCGGCUAACGACGUGUCAGCAGCCGCGGUAAUACGGAGGUUCCAAGCGUGAUCCGGAUUUAUUGGGUGUAAGGGGUGCGUAGGCGGAGUGAUAAGUUAGAGGUGAAAUGUCCGGGCUUAACUCGGGAACUGCAUUUGAUACUGUUGAUCUAGAGAGUAGAAGGGGUAGGCGGAAUGUAUGGUGUAGCGGUGAAAUGCUUAGAUAUCAGAAAGAACACCGAUUGCGAAGGCAACUUACCGGUCUAUAUCUGACGUUGAGGCACGAAAGCGUGGGGAGCAAACAGGAUUAGAUACCCCUGUAGUC